GGGUUGUGAGGUUAAGCGACUAAGCGUACACGGUGGAUGCCCUGGCAGUCAGAGGCGAUGAAGGACGUGCUAAUCUGCGAUAAGCGUCGGUGAGGUGAUAUGAACCGUUAUAACCGGCGAUUUCCGAAUGGGGAAACCCAGUGUGUUUCGACACACUAUCAUUAACUGAAUCCAUAGGUUAAUGAGGCGAACCGGGGGAACUGAAACAUCUAAGUACCCCGAGGAAAAGAAAUCAACCGAGAUUCCCCCAGUAGCGGCGAGCGAACGGGGAGGAGCCCAGAGCCUGAAUCAGUGUGUGUGUUAGUGGAAGCGUCUGGAAAGGCGCGCGAUACAGGGUGACAGCCCCGUACACAAAAAUGCACAUGCUGUGAGCUCGAUGAGUAGGGCGGGACACGUGGUAUCCUGUCUGAAUAUGGGGGGACCAUCCUCCAAGGCUAAAUACUCCUGACUGACCGAUAGUGAACCAGUACCGUGAGGGAAAGGCGAAAAGAACCCCGGCGAGGGGAGUGAAAAAGAACCUGAAACCGUGUACGUACAAGCAGUGGGAGCCUCUUUAUGGGGUGACUGCGUACCUUUUGUAUAAUGGGUCAGCGACUUAUAUUCUGUAGCAAGGUUAACCGAAUAGGGGAGCCGAAGGGAAACCGAGUCUUAACUGGGCGUUAAGUUGCAGGGUAUAGACCCGAAACCCGGUGAUCUAGCCAUGGGCAGGUUGAAGGUUGGGUAACACUAACUGGAGGACCGAACCGACUAAUGUUGAAAAAUUAGCGGAUGACUUGUGGCUGGGGGUGAAAGGCCAAUCAAACCGGGAGAUAGCUGGUUCUCCCCGAAAGCUAUUUAGGUAGCGCCUCGUGAAUUCAUCUCCGGGGGUAGAGCACUGUUUCGGCAAGGGGGUCAUCCCGACUUACCAACCCGAUGCAAACUGCGAAUACCGGAGAAUGUUAUCACGGGAGACACACGGCGGGUGCUAACGUCCGUCGUGAAGAGGGAAACAACCCAGACCGCCAGCUAAGGUCCCAAAGUCAUGGUUAAGUGGGAAACGAUGUGGGAAGGCCCAGACAGCCAGGAUGUUGGCUUAGAAGCAGCCAUCAUUUAAAGAAAGCGUAAUAGCUCACUGGUCGAGUCGGCCUGCGCGGAAGAUGUAACGGGGCUAAACCAUG
RNAcentral lists this ribosomal RNA (1157 nucleotides) under Escherichia coli. RNAcentral's name for it is "partial 23S ribosomal RNA". It matches the Rfam family "Bacterial large subunit ribosomal RNA", at positions 1 to 1191 of the family's 2925-position model. The record is from RNAcentral. Lineage: Bacteria; Pseudomonadati; Pseudomonadota; Gammaproteobacteria; Enterobacterales; Enterobacteriaceae.